Long non-coding RNA from Bos taurus (domestic cattle), 305 nucleotides. The record is from Ensembl. NCBI's taxonomy places the organism in Eukaryota, Metazoa, Chordata, Mammalia, Artiodactyla, Bovidae.
GAUCUCGGCAUUCUUUGUACUCUGCAGCCUUGAGACUUCAAGGGCAGAAGCCCACGUGCCCAGGUGACCACCAGUCUACCCACCUGCCUGGCAAGACUCAAACUGAUACAUCCAUUCUUCCGGUCUCAAAGCUGCUGACCUUUGAACAAGAACUAUGCCAUGAGCUCUCUUGAUUCUAGGCUUCCAGGAUAUGUGACCCUCAAAGCUUCCUGCUCCCAAGAGUGAUGUCGUCAAAGAUCAUCUGAGAACUUGUACAUUGCCUUUUACGACUACAUUCCAGGACCUAAUUUCAUUUUGUAAGUUCC